This 465-nucleotide ribosomal RNA is filed under the name uncultured bacterium. Its description in RNAcentral is "partial 16S ribosomal RNA". It matches the Rfam family "Bacterial small subunit ribosomal RNA", at positions 28 to 507 of the family's 1533-position model. The record is from RNAcentral.
AGCGAACGCUGGCGGCAUGCCUAACACAUGCAAGUCGCACGGGUCGGCUUCGGCCGGUCAGUGGCGUACGGGUGAGGAACGCGUAGGGAUCUGUCCUCUGGUGGGGGAUAACCGCGGGAAACUUCGGCUAAGACCGCAUGGGGCGCCGGUGUCAGAGCCGGUGUCAAAGGCGCGCAUCGCGAGGUGUGUGUCGCCUGGGGGUGAGCCUGCGUCCGAUUGGCGGGGUGGCGGGGUAGUGGGCCACCAAGGCGUCGAUCGGUAGCUGGGCUGAGAGGGUGAUCCAGCAUACUGGGACUGGGACACGGCCCAGACUCUGACGGGAGGCAGCAGUGGGGAAUAUUGGACAAUGGGCGCAAGCCUGAGCCAGCAAUGCCGCGUGGGUGAAGAAGGGCUUCGGAUUGUAAAGCCCUUUCGGCGGGGACGAUGGUGACGGUACCCGCAGAAGAAGCCCCGGCUAACUUCGUG